GAUGAACGCUGGCGGCGUGCCUAACACAUGCAAGUCGAACGGAGUCCAGCCUUUAAGACCUUCGGGUCAAAGAGGGGAAGACUGAGUGGCGGACGGGUGAGUAACACGUGGGCAACCUGGCUCAUAGAGGGGGAUAACAGAGAGAAAUUUCUGCUAAUACCGUAUAAGCACACACUGCCGCAUGGCAGAGGGUGAAAAGAGAAUCGCUAUGAGAUGGACCCGCGUCUGAUUAGCCAGUUGGCAGGGUAAGAGCCUACCAAAGCGACGAUCAGUAGCCGAUCUGAGAGGAUGAACGGCCACAUUGGGACUGAGACACGGCCCAAACUCCUACGGGAGGCAGCAGUGGGGGAUAUUGCACAAUGGGGGGAACCCUGAUGCAGCGACGCCGCGUGAGUGAAGAAGUAUUUCGGUAUGUAAAGCUCUAUCAGCAGGGAAGAUAAUGACAGUACCUGAAUAAGAAGCCCCGGCUAACUACGUG
This 478-nucleotide ribosomal RNA is filed under the name uncultured bacterium. RNAcentral's name for it is "partial 16S ribosomal RNA". It matches the Rfam family "Bacterial small subunit ribosomal RNA", at positions 28 to 507 of the family's 1533-position model. The record is from RNAcentral.